AAACGACUCUCGGCAACGGAUAUCUCGGCUCACGCAUCGAUGAAGAACGUAGCAAAAUGCGAUACUUGGUGUGAAUUGCAGAAUCCCGUGAACCAUCGAGUUUUUGAACGCAAGUUGCGCCCAAAGCCUUUUGGUUGAGGGCACGUCUGCCUGGGCGUCACAC
Molecule: ribosomal RNA, 163 nt
Filed under: Munnozia gigantea
Lineage: Eukaryota; Viridiplantae; Streptophyta; Magnoliopsida; Asterales; Asteraceae
Description: 5.8S ribosomal RNA
Rfam family: 5.8S ribosomal RNA
About the family: 5.8S ribosomal RNA (5.8S rRNA) is a component of the large subunit of the eukaryotic ribosome. It is transcribed by RNA polymerase I as part of the 45S precursor that also contains 18S and 28S rRNA. Functionally, it is thought that 5.8S rRNA may be involved in ribosome translocation.
Source: RNAcentral